GGUAGUCUUCAUGCCAAGCGCUGAGCCCAAGGCAGGGCUUGAAUUCAGGACCCUGAGAUUAAGAGUUGGAAGCUUGACCCGCUGAGCCACCCAGGCACCAAAGGGUUUCAUUUUUGACUCACUGCUUGAUAUAAGUACAAGAGGUUCCAAGUACAAGAGCCUAGGCGAUGGCCACCCACUAAGGAUUCAGACACAUCUGAGGAGGCUAAUGGGAAGAUGUUUGGGACCCAAUGAACAAACACCUGAGACUGAAAGCUUGCCUUCAGCAUCCUUCAGCAGUGAAAAGCCAACAUCCAGGUGCUCAAUUAGAUUGGGUAAAAAAACUUACCCUAAGAGAGCAUGAUGGUACAAACUUAAUCAGAGACACCGACUAGGGCUUGUCCAGGAGGAAUGGUUCUCAGCAUAAGGCAAUGAUAGUUAAGUGAACUUGAACUUCUUAUUUGGCUGAAAGGAAAACCUAGCCUAAUUCCAAAUGCAGGAAAAGAGAGAUACAGGAGAAGUGUAAGAAAUCUUUAAAAAACAACAAAACAUUUUAGGAGUAUUACAGACACUUGGAUAAAAGGAAGCCUUGUUUAAUGGCCUGAAGACAAGAUGAGAGAAAAGGUGUUUGUUCUCUUCUUUACUCACUUUACUAUUGUGAUCCUGGAAAUGGGAAAACUGUGGAUGACAAUGUCAGUAGUAAGGGAACAACAUCUGCACCAGGAGUUUUGUCAGGAACUCUGACAUUCAUAGGAAUGGAUUGCUACCUGGAUUUUACUGAGGACUGUCUGAAGACUGAGGAUUUUUUAAGGGAGAUUCGCAGUCUGUGAUUUUUCACCAAGCUUAUGUGUCCUACACAAAAUACCUAGGAAAAGAGUUCCUGGUUUGUGUGAACUGAUCUGUCCCAGGCCUGAGUGAUGAUGAACUGACACCUGAGCCCACAGUACCUGAUUCUCAACUUUGUGCAUAUGGAGCCUGGUGGCCCAGUGUGUCCCCCAUAAGUCCCUGCCUGUGACCGUGACUCUCCCUCCACCACUGCCAACAGCAGAAGGAUCUUUUGGAGCCUGGACACACACGGUGGGGCCACCUGCACAUGCGCAGUGCAGCCUGCAAGCACCUGCCCAAGCAGGUGGGCACCUCAGCAGAGCAACCCAUCUUCUUGGAGCUAUCGGUGCCCAGCGCUGCACUCCUGAUGUGCAGCUGGCACAGGGAAGGUCAUUUGCAUCAGACCCCUUCUGGCCAUGACCAGGAAAGAUACACAGGACCUCAGUGGGCCUCCCAAGUAUCUAUCAUCAGCGGACUUCCCAUAGAUGGCACGGCUAAGGACUUCUGGUGAGAUCCUGCCUUAUGGGUAAGUAAAUCUGUUUGGAAGCGGGGUGGAGUUUGGCGUGGAGGUAUGUCCCCCAGACGUUUCUGCUGGUGGCUGGGUGUACUCCUGCACGUCCCAGACCCACAAUGGAUCCCAGGGUGCCUGGGUGCUCAUGUGGCCUGCAAAAUGCAGUUCACUCUACACACCUACUCUCAGGCAUCAGGCCCUCCAGGCCAUCCUCCUGGGGCUGUGAUUCCCCUCACUAAACCAUUGAUGAGAAGGUUUGAAUGAUGGUUACUGUCAGAUUCCAUAUGGUGUUGCUGUUCUCUUAGUAUAGGGGCCUGUAUGCAAUCCUUGUUUUUAAAUUCAGGGUGUUUCCCAUAUAUAAAAAUACUUCUUUGUGAGGUACAAUGUAUUGUAAGAUACUCUAUCAAUAUAAUAAUAGAUUUGGGGGGGAAGCAAAACACAUGACAUACACAUGGAUUUCUUCACAUGAAAAAAAUACCAUAAGAUCACAAUCAAAGUUUGAGUUUAAUCCUUUUAUAAAGAUUCUUAUGGGCUACUUUUUGCCAUUGACAAACUUAUACAACAACAUGAUCCAUUGAGAUCAGUUGGAUAGGAUAAUUGAGCAAUAUUGUCGAUGAAGAAUGACCUUCUGGGAUGACUGUUGUGUGACUGAAUGGAGGGUGAUGCCUUUUACCUGCUACAGGGCCCCAUGAAAAAAGACCAGAUCUGUGGAACAAGAGCAUGAGGUGACGUUUGGACAUGUGGAGACAUUCUGAAACAUUCCUUUGAGACAUUCAGAUGGGGCUGUUGAAUAAGCAAUUGGAUAAGAGUCAAGUUGAGUGGAGAGGUCUGGAUUGGAGAUGUAGUUCUGUGAGCUACCUCUGAAAGAAUGGACUUGAAGGUGAAGUAUGGAUGCAAUUACCUAAACAGAGAAUAUAGUGAGAGAGGAAAAGGAUACCUUGAGAAAUGGCAAUAUAUAUAUUAUUUAAGUUUAUUCAUUUAUUUUGAGAGAGAGAGAGAGGGAGGGGCAGAGAGUGAGAUGAAUAGACAGGCUCCACCCUCAGCAAGGAGCCCAAUGUGGGGCUUGAUCUCCUGAACCCUGGGAUCAUGACCUGAACCAAACUCAAGGGUUGGACGCUUAAUCAGGUGAGCCACCUAGGUGCCCCAAGAAGUGCCAGUAUUUAUUGGCACAUAAAAAGAGGUGAAGCUUCAAAUGAGGACAAGAGCAGAGAGGAAGACAAUCAAAGGAGUGUUGUACAAUGGAUGUUAGGACUAGAUUCAGGAUGAAGGGUGGGGACAACUAUGCUAAAUGUUGCAGGUAGGUCUAAUAGGAUAAAGAUCAGAAAAUGCACAAUGAAUUUAACAGGAAGAGCUAGUUCAGUGUAGUAAUGGGGGCUAAAGUAAGAUUGAAAUAUGUUACUGAGUGAAUGAGAGGUGAAGAAGUGAGGGUGGUGAGCCUAGAGGAAAAUUGAGACGUUUGAUGUUUCAGGGGUAAAGCCAAAAGGAAGAGAAGUUGCUAGAAAGAUAUGUGGACUUAAGAAAGAUUUGUUUGUUGUUGUUUACAUUUUGAGCAGGUUUGAAAGCCAAUGCAAAUGAUCUAGCUGAAAGUGAGUGAUUUUAUAUAAGCAAAAGAAGACCAAAUUGGUAAUAUUUUUUGGAAGUUUGGGAGGGGAGAGGAUGCAAAGUACUGACAAAGACUCUUUCCUUUGACCAGACUUCAGUCAGGCUCCUCUGAGUCCUCUCUUUGACGAGGCCCUGACCUUGGGCUCUGUCCUUAUCCAGAGGCCCUGCCCUUCAGACCAGUUUUAGCAAGAAUCCUACUGAGUCAGUUUAGCACGUCCCCUACCCUUGAUAUCUUUUCAGUUCUUUAUUCCCCACUCGCAAUAUCACUGUGGCCUGCCUUCAGAAAUCCUUUCAGUUUACCCAGAAUCUCCCUACCCCUGCUAUUUCCUCCUAGUAAUAUUCUGUCCACUGACCUCCAUUCUGCUCUUAGGCUAUAAACCUCCACCUGUUCUUAAUGUGUUUGGAGUUGAGCUCAAUCUCUCCCCUUCAGGCAAAGAGCCCAUUGUAGCUUUUCUCUCAAAUAAAGUCUAAAGUGUCACGAAUAAGUAUUUCUCUAACCUUACUAGGGUAUGAAUGAGCCUGAGAGCUGGAAGCAUGGUGAUCCAUGUCAUGCAGUGGUAACACAGCUGAUGAAACGAUUCCUUGCAAUAACUUGGCAGGCAUAUAGCUAAUAACAUUUAGUUCUAGCAAACGGCAUGGGAAAACAAUAUUAGAAGCUUAUGUAGGUUUCUACAGGCUGCAUUUGUGAGGUAUUAUUCAGAAGAGAUGAACUCAGAAAAGAAUUUCUAAGUUUGCAAUCAGGAAUGAAAAAGGGUAGAAAAACUCUUCAAAUUCAGGGAUUUCCUCUUGGAAGAGACAAUUGCUUUUCAACAACCCCAACUAGAAAAAGCUGGUACUAAGAAGGCUUCUGGGGAAUAAAAGCCAAUUAAAACUCAAUCUUGUGUAAAGGGUCAAGCUCUCUAGAUGUUAAAACAAUGGAAGGAAGGAAGAUGUUUCAGAGUAAGCAUCCACCUAAAUGUGUUCUGCCCAGUAAAUCCAUUCAAUGCCUCAAGGAAAAGAGAUUAAAUGUGAGGGCCCCCAGAGAAACCUUAUAAACAAGGUGUGCACAGUUUAUUUAUGUGAGGGAGUCUUUAGGUUAAGAAAGCAAAGGAAUGUAAGGAUUCUGAGAACUCUGUCUUAAAAAAAAAAAAAAGAAUAAGAAUAAAAUUAGGGACAUAGAACUGAGAAGAAUCAGAAUAUGAAAGACCUGUUUAGGAAA
Long non-coding RNA from Felis catus (domestic cat), 4115 nucleotides. RefSeq lists it as uncharacterized. The record is from RefSeq and is a predicted model, not a curated record. NCBI's taxonomy places the organism in Eukaryota, Metazoa, Chordata, Mammalia, Carnivora, Felidae. The transcript has 2 exons.